CUGCAGUGUCACGAGGGCCCCUUGGUUCUGUGGAGCCCACAGGGUGAGUUUUGCCAGUGGGUAGGGUCAGCACCAAAGACACAGACACCAACUGAAAGAAUUGUGUCAUUUAUAUAAGAUCCACACAGCAGCUGGGGGAAGCUGUCCCAGCCAAGGGCUGCAGAGCCACUCCUGGACACUGGGAAUUCCUGCAGGUGCCUCCAGCCACAGCUGAGGCUCCAACUUCGCUGUGAGAGGGCCCAGCUCUGACAGUGCUGAAUGAACAAACUGACAGCACUUCUAGUGUGGGAACAUCUGGUUUCAUCCUCCUCUUGGGUUCCUCCCAAAGCCUGGCCAGGGCCAGAUGGGGCCUUGUCUGAUUUUUAAAUACAGAAAGGUAAAUCCACAUUUCACCAAUGAACAGAUAGAGAUCAUAUUGCUAAUAAAGAUUCAUUAAUGAGCAGAUACAAAGAUAAGCUUUGGUUGGAAGUUUCAUCUAGAGCUCAGCUUUGCCUCAGGGCCUGUUGUUCAGGCCACAUACAGGACCUGGUGUUGAGGCCUCAGGACAUCAAUCAGUGCUUUGACUUACAGAUGAUGAACUGCAACCUUCAUAACAAUUCUUUGGAUAACAGAGUUUAGAUUUAGCUAUUAGGCAUAAAGACAUCAGCUCUUGUUCUUCAAUUAAGUGUUGUUCAAGUUCAUUACUCAGAGCUAUAAUUUGCCUUCCAUUUAAAACAUCCCUAAUUAGUUGCUAUUCUCCAUUAUUUUAUCAAAUGUCCCUUUUUUCUUGAGACUGUGUCUCUUUUUAGACAAGACUCAGUACUCCGUUUCCAGCACAAAGUGCCACAACAACUCUAAAAUGAAAUCAUAACACACCAAGUGCUCAUAUUGCAAUGACGCGACACUGCCAAAAAUUAAUUUCACAGUAGCCUCCAAUUUGGCAGCCAUGAAGCCAAUGCCACCAAGAAAAAUUUUCUUCUUUCUGCCACUCUUCUACUGCCUUUUCUGUCAAGCUGAUUCCUGACUGUUGGCCUUCAAACCCAUCACUGAGAGCAGUGCAACAUUCCUGUCCCAUGAGAGCCCAGGUUCCUCACUGGCCAGCAAGCAGAUAAUCCCAGUCUGUGUGUUUCUGUAGAGCCCCAUUUGUGUUUGUUGGAGCUCCUGGGAUGUGAGAUUGGACAUUUUAACAGCAUCAUUUGCUAUUUCUUCUAAUAAUUGAUUUAGCUCAUUACUGUAAAAUCUGCAGAAUGGGGUAGUACACAUGGGGCACA
This is a long non-coding RNA of Passer domesticus (house sparrow), 1250 nucleotides long. RefSeq lists it as uncharacterized. The record is from RefSeq and is a predicted model, not a curated record. The transcript has 2 exons. NCBI's taxonomy places the organism in Eukaryota, Metazoa, Chordata, Aves, Passeriformes, Passeridae.